UUUUGAUCUUAAAGAUAGCUUCAAAUUCCAUAAAAAAUCAUAACCAGUUAAGUUGUUCUAUGGCAAACUGUAAGUUCCAUUGCGAGUCAAAUAACAAAAAUAAAGAACCAACAAAGUAAAAGCACUAAAAAACAUCUAAAAGCACCUCUAUCAAGCCACAUAAACUAACUCAUUAGUUAAUUACGGGUCCUCAGGACCAUAAAUCAUCUGUAGCAAAAAAAUCCUUGCGCUCAUUAACCGGAAAACCGAAAAAGGGUCUACCCUUGCUGGAUCUUGAGUAGGGAAAGUGUAGGCCGUGUAACUAAGUGAAGCUCAACUCCUAUCUUUCCAAGUUGUGCAUAAACUUCUCUCAGAGUACACAUGUUGUCAAGUUCUCUCAAUGAUAGCAUUUCCCUCUCUUCGAUCUCUAAGUUCCCACCAAUUUUCUUCAUCAUCAUCUCGUCUAUGUUCAUGAUUAUCAAUCUAUCAAGAAGUCUUUUGUUAGAAUCAAUAAUUCUAUCUACAUAAUAUCCAACAGGGAAUCCAAUGGAACACGAUUCAAAUCUCACUUAAGCUCAUGGUAUAAUAAUCAUACAGAAAAUCCAACUUAGGCUCAAAACUUAGACUUGCACAAGAAAUGACAGGAGUUGAUUCUUUGUUUUUCAAGAACUAUAAUCGAUUAAAACGAAAUGCUUCAGCUACUACCAAAAUCUAAACCACAUCCAGCCAACAAUUUAUGUUCAAGACCGUACAAAAUCAUUGUAAAAUUCAUAACUUGUCACUUCAUGUACAUUUAAAUGGCCAAAUUUUACAAAUUAAAUAGCAUGAGCAUUGUGUUGAAAUGAAAAUUAAGCUAACCUGAGAUUUACUGGGAGCCAUGAGUUAAGAGUAUUUUAUGACUCUGUACGGGCAACUUUCUAGAGUCAGAUGGCCGAAAGCUAAGGCGCCGAUCACCACGAUCCCUGAUCUUAUCGCAUUCAACUUCGUCUCUGGGUUCAUUCUCCUCCUCUCCUUCGCACUGCACACCGUCACAGGAUGCUUAACUGUGAAGGGGAAAUGAAAGAGAACAUAGAUUUUUAGGAAAAUCUAUUUGAUUCCAAACAAACAAAUUUAGGAAAAUCAAAAUUUUUUUUUUCUGUUUCUUCAUUUUCCUCUAUGCAAACAAUUUAUCAACCUUUUCUCUUUUCAUUUUUUCAAUCAACCCAUA
Molecule: unclassified non-coding RNA, 1186 nt
Filed under: Hevea brasiliensis (rubber tree)
Lineage: Eukaryota; Viridiplantae; Streptophyta; Magnoliopsida; Malpighiales; Euphorbiaceae
Source: RNAcentral